CGGCAGCGUGCGUAGGAGCCGUGUUAGGGUCGGCUAGGCGCGUCUGUGCGGUCCCGGGCCGCUGGGUGCUGCGACGCGCUGUUGCGGAGGGGCCGGCCUAUGCGGGCCCGCCAGCGGCUGUGUGUCCGUCUGUGUCCGGGCUGCGUGUGAGGGUGUGUCCCUGCGUGCCCGGUUUAUCAGUGGCUGACUUUGCCGCAGGAGGAGGGCGAGUGUCUGAAAGUCCUUCGGUGGAAGGAGCCUGAGCCUUCGUCUUGCGUGUGGCGCCUCGCCUGGAGGUGGGCGCGCGCCGGCGCCGGGGCCCGUUUGCGGAGUGCGAUAAUGGCGCUGCGCGGGCGGCGUUUUCUAGGGUCUCUGAUCUACGGCUGUGAAUCUCCCCUGCUGCUCCCUCCUUUCCCCCAAUAGCCUUAGAGAAUCCCUGAAAAAGUGAUCUUUGGAGAGAAGACGGGAGUUGCAGUCUCAGAGUGAAGGUUCCCAGCACCAAGAUUCUCCAGCGUGGCGGACUUGGUCUUGUAAUGAGAAUUCACAAGUGUUUCUCCGUGUGACCUACAGAGAAGACAGCGGGAGCAGACUCCGCUCAAGGCCACGCCGGCUUACUCAAGGAGGGCUCGUCGCGGAGUCAGAGAAACCUCGGUUCUACGCCGGGCUCCUUCACCCACAAAGCGCGUGACUUUGGAUGUUACCUUAACCUCUUUGUUUCCAUCAUCUGUAAAAUGGGGGAAAAUACUUAACAUUGCACUUUCCUUUUAUGGUUUUCUUUUUUGAGAAUCAAAUGAGAUAAUGAUAUAUACAAAGUUCUUACCUAGUUAUUAGUAUUAAUGUCAUUAUUGCUAUUAGAAUUAUUAAGGUGAUUUAAACAAUAAAUCUUUGAGCAUC
Molecule: long non-coding RNA, 873 nt
Organism: Equus quagga
Lineage: Eukaryota; Metazoa; Chordata; Mammalia; Perissodactyla; Equidae
Exons: 2
Source: RefSeq, a predicted model, not a curated record